GCGGUAAUUCCAGCUCCAAUAGCGUAUAUUAAAGUUGUUGCGGUUAAAAAGCUCGUAGUUGGAUCUGUGUUUCACGCUGUCGGUUCACCGUUUUGUCGGUGUCUAACUGACAUGUCGUGGUACGUCCUGCCGGUUGGCGGCGUUGGCGUUUCCUUACGGUUGCGUCGCGUCUGCCAGUCCCAAUCCUGUCGCGGUGCUCUUCACCGAGUGUCGAGGCGGGCCGGCACGUUUACCUUGAACAAAUUUGAGUGCUUAAAGCAGGCUAUAAUCGCCGGAAAACUGUGUGCAUGGAAUAAUAUAAUAGGACCGCGGUUCUAUUUUGUUGGUUUUCAGAAUCCGAGGUAAUGAUUAAUAGGGACCGGCGGGGGCAUUAGUAUUGCGACGUUAGAGGUGAAAUUCUUGGAUCGUCGCAAGACUAACCUAAGCGAAAGCAUUUGCCAAGGAUGCUUCCAUUAAUCAAGAACGAAAGUUAGAGGUUCGAAGGCGAUCAGAUACCGCCCUAGUUCUAACCAUAAACGAUGCCAGCCAGCGAUCCGUCGAAGUUCCUCCGAUGACUCGACGGGCAGCUUCCGGGAAACUAAAGCAUUUGGGUUCCGGGGGAAGUAUGGUUGCAAAGCUGAAACUUAAAGGAAUUGACGGAAAGGCACCACCAUGGAGUGGAGCCUGCGGCUUAAUUUGACUCAACACGGGAAAACUUACCAGGUCCAGACAUAGGUAGGAUUGACAGAUUGAGAGCUCUUUCUUGAUUUGGUGGGUGGUGGUGCAUGGCCGUUCUUAGUUGGUGGAGCGAUUUGUCUGGUUAAUUCCGUUAACGAACGAGACCUCGGCCUACUAAAUAGUGCGUGGUAUGGCAACAUAGUACGUUUUUACUUCUUAGAGGGACAUGUCCGGUUUACGGGCAGGAAGUUCGAGGCAAUAACAGGUCUGUGAUGCCCUUAGAUGUCCUGGGCCGCACGCGUGCUACACUGAUACGUACAACGAGGUAUAUGUACUUGUACAUCAAUGCUGCUCCGAAAUAGACACAGCUUAAUCUUCUAAAAUACGUAUCGUGCUGCGGAUAGAUCGUUGAAAAUUUUAUAAUAACAAAUUAUGAAUCUUGAAGGUGGAAUUCCUAGUAAGCGCAGGUCAUUAGCCUGCGUUGAUUACGUCCCUGCCCUUUGUACACACCGCCCGUCG
RNAcentral lists this ribosomal RNA (1176 nucleotides) under Aurantiochytrium limacinum. Its description in RNAcentral is "partial Eukaryotic small subunit ribosomal RNA". It matches the Rfam family "Eukaryotic small subunit ribosomal RNA", at positions 576 to 1678 of the family's 1831-position model. Lineage: Eukaryota; Bigyra; Thraustochytrida; Thraustochytriidae. The record is from RNAcentral.